GAUGAACGCUGGCGGCGUGCCUAAUACAUGCAAGUCGAGCGGACGGACGAGACGCUUGUUUCUCUGAUGUUAGCGGCGGACGGGUGAGUAACACGUGGAUAACCUACUUAUAAGACUGGGAUAAUUUCGGGAAACCGGAGCUAAUACCGGAUAAUAUUUUGAACCGCAUGGUUCAAAAGUGAAAGACGGUCUUGCUGUCACUUAUAGAUGGAUCCGCGCUGCAUUAGCUAGUUGGUAAGGUAACGGCUUACCAAGGCAACGAUGCAUAGCCGACCUGAGAGGGUGAUCGGCCACACUGGAACUGAGACACGGUCCAGACUCCUACGGGAGGCAGCAGUAGGGAAUCUUACGCAAUGGGCGAAAGCCUGACGGAGCAACGCCGCGUGAGUGAUGAAGGUCUUCGGAUCGUAAAACUCUGUUAUUAGGGAAGAACAGAUGUGGAAGUAACUGUGCACAUCUUGACGGUACCUAAUCAGAAAGCCACGGCUAACUACGUG
RNAcentral lists this ribosomal RNA (497 nucleotides) under uncultured bacterium. RNAcentral's name for it is "partial 16S ribosomal RNA". It matches the Rfam family "Bacterial small subunit ribosomal RNA", at positions 28 to 507 of the family's 1533-position model. The record is from RNAcentral.